Molecule: ribosomal RNA, 528 nt
Filed under: uncultured bacterium
Lineage: Bacteria
Description: bacterial SSU rRNA
Rfam family: Bacterial small subunit ribosomal RNA
Source: RNAcentral
UUAUGGCUCAGGACGAACGCUGGCGGCGUGCCUAAUACAUGCAAGUCGAACGGUCUUUCUAUGGAAGCUUGCUUCCACUGAGAAGAUAGUGGCGAACGGGUGAGUAACACGUGGGUAACCUGCCCAUAAGAGGGGGAUAACAUCCGGAAACGGGUGCUAAUACCGCAUAGUUUUCUUGAUCGCAUGAUCGGGAAAGGAAAGACGGCCUUUGUGCUGUCGCUUAUGGAUGGACCCGCGGCGUAUUAGUUAGUUGGUGAGGUAACGGCUCACCAAGACGAUGAUACGUAGCCGACCUGAGAGGGUGAUCGGCCACAUUGGGACUGAGACACGGCCCAAACUCCUACGGGAGGCAGCAGUAGGGAAUCUUCCGCAAUGGACGAAAGUCUGACGGAGCAACGCCGCGUGAGUGAAGAAAGGUUUUCGGAUCGUAAAACUCUGUUGUCAGAGAAGAACAAGUUGGAGAGUAACUGCUCCAGCCUUGACGGUAUCUGACCAGAAAGCCACGGCUAACUACGUGCCAGCAGCGGC